UCCGACCAAUCGUAUGGAGAUGAUACGACCUUAGUGUAGAUUCCCUCUAUUACUGUUUAGUACCCCACUGUGGCCUUCAAGGACUGGUGAGCAGGAGGGGG
Molecule: long non-coding RNA, 101 nt
Organism: Gavialis gangeticus (Gharial)
Lineage: Eukaryota; Metazoa; Chordata; Crocodylia; Gavialidae
Exons: 3
Source: RefSeq, a predicted model, not a curated record